AUGCUCUCUCAUGCUGCUAGACUUGAACUAAUUCGCUCGGUUUUCUCGGCUAUUCCUGUUUAUUACAUGGCAAAUAUCUUGUUUUCUAAGAAAUUCAUUGCUAAACUCACGACUGUUAUAAGAAACUUCUGGUGGACAGGUGUUCGAGAGACUGACUCUAAAAAGAGUCUUUGCCUUAGGGCCUGGAAAGAUAUUUGUAAUUCUAAAACAGAAGGUGGCUUGGGUAUUAGGAAUCUUAAAGCAAUUAAUAAAAGCCUCAUUCUCUCAGCUGCUUGGAGGUUAGCUAAAGCCCCUUCUUCUCAUCUAUACCUUGCGCUUAAGGCUAAAUACUUCCCGGAUACUUCAAUUUGGAGAGCCACUACAACCCCUCCUAAAUCUGCUUUUUGGGCCUCUAUUUUGAAAAUGUUGCCUAAGCUGACAUGUCAUGCUUUUUAA
This 435-nucleotide ribosomal RNA is filed under the name Triticum aestivum (bread wheat). RNAcentral describes it as "partial small subunit ribosomal RNA". The record is from RNAcentral. Lineage: Eukaryota; Viridiplantae; Streptophyta; Magnoliopsida; Poales; Poaceae.